RNAcentral lists this long non-coding RNA (534 nucleotides) under Equus caballus (horse). RNAcentral describes it as "lncRNA (ENSECAG00000045821.1)". The record is from RNAcentral. Lineage: Eukaryota; Metazoa; Chordata; Mammalia; Perissodactyla; Equidae.
AGAAGAAUGUCUGGCAUGUCAUAGGCACUCAGUAAACAUUUAUGACUGACUUAAUGAAGGGUAGAGCACAUUUGGAGGGAGAUGUGAUUAUGUUAAAAAGAUGAUUUCCUGGAGAAAUGAUGAUGGCGGCAUCUAAAUCAAGAAAACAACGUAUUUAGAGAGAGAUGGCCCUUUGUUUAAAAAAAAAAUACAAAACCAAAAAGAGCCCAACUAAACAAAAACAAAACAGUCUGAAAACUUCCAAGCGUGAAGGUAUGCACAUCUAUAUUCAAAUUUGGUAGUGCCAUGCUGUAUAUGAAUAUAUACUUCCAGUAAGAAAUGUCCAAAACUUUUCCAAAGUGCUUCUACUCCAGUUUCAGCCAAUUGGAAAACACAAUCUUAAAAGAUGGUCAGCAAAGUUUUCAAAAUUGAGUGAGGACAUGAGAGAAUACAGGCCCGGAGAACACAGGCUUUUUGCAGAGUAUCGAGAGGAGGAGGCUUACUGGAUCUUAUCUGAAAAUGUGCUAGUGGAGAAGGCAAAGAUAAAUAUACACA